UACGGAGGAUCCAAGCGUUAUCCGGAUUUAUUGGGUUUAAAGGGUGCGUAGGCGGACUGGAAAGUCAGCGGUAAAAUCGAGAGGCUCAACCUCUUUCCGCCGUUGAAACUGGCUGUCUUGAGAUGUCGAGAGGUAUGCGGAAUGCGCAGUGUAGCGGUGAAAUGCUUAGAUAUUGCGCAGAACUCCGAUUGCGAAGGCAGCAUACCGGCGGCGAUCUGACGCUGAGGCACGAAAGCGUGGGUAUCGAACAGG
This 252-nucleotide ribosomal RNA is filed under the name uncultured Bacteroidales bacterium. RNAcentral's name for it is "partial 16S ribosomal RNA". It matches the Rfam family "Bacterial small subunit ribosomal RNA", at positions 524 to 776 of the family's 1533-position model. The record is from RNAcentral. Lineage: Bacteria; Pseudomonadati; Bacteroidota; Bacteroidia; Bacteroidales.